Molecule: long non-coding RNA, 2338 nt
Organism: Sebastes umbrosus (honeycomb rockfish)
Lineage: Eukaryota; Metazoa; Chordata; Actinopteri; Perciformes; Sebastidae
Exons: 3
Source: RefSeq, a predicted model, not a curated record
GUUAGCUAACUUUUACGUCACGUACACUUAAUAAAAAAGCAUUUAUCAAUCAUAUAUUCCACUAAUAAGACGCGCUUUAGAUAUUCCUAACAUAAUAUGUUGUUUCGUCCACUAUAAAUACGAAGAAAGGUCGAUAUAAGGUGACAAGUUGGUGUAAAGCUAGCGAGCGAUGCUAGCUCGAGCGAGCUAACGUUGCCUAGCAAUGCUAGUGCGAGCUAACGGCUAACGCAGCUGCUGGCUUCACAGAGAGUCUGGAACUGUUGCCGUGGUUACUUGAGGCUUUCAGCUAACAAUAUACUGCAUAGUUUAAAGUGACUAUGUGUGUGUUUCGAGGCUGGAUUGAUACGUAUUUGAGAGUAUUUACCUUGUAAAACGCCCCGUUGGAGCCACGGACCUCCACCACCAGUUCCUCCAUAUUGGACACGCAAAGGAUGCCGGGAUGACAGGUGCUCCUUGAAGCAUCAGGAGAGGAGAGAGAGGAGAGUUUGAAGGCUGCAGAGUCUGAUUGCCUCAGUGCUGAAGAAAGAGGCCUAAGAGGAGGAAUCCCCUCUCUUUGUGAAAGGGAGUCCAGGUGGGAGCAGAGGAGGAGAAUGGAGAGGGAUGAUUCAUGAACGCGGAGAAUCUGCAGCUUCAUCAGAGUCGGUCAAGCAGGACAGCUGCUGCUGCUGCUGACCUCCCGAACUAGUGGAGGGACCCACACCUUCAAGGACUAAAGGUCUUCUUAUUCUUUUCCCUCCAGCAGUCACACCGUUCUCCCUCCCUCUUUCUUUUCUUUCUCUACCACUUUUUCACUCUCAGCUUAUUGCAACAGAGCAGGGUCAGGACUUAACCCCCCCAGAGAAAUAAAGUCCUUCAGGUCUGCAGAAAAGGACAGUGACGAGGUGUCUCUGCGAACGUGUGUGAGUGAUGGAGUGGUAAACACAAAGACGACUGUGUCCUCCCUCAUGAGGCGAAAAAACAGCAACACACAGUUGUCUUCAGAAAAGCAUUAUAUAGCUUUUCCUUAAAGAGCCCCAUAUUCAUAAUUUACACUGAUAACCAAUUACAGUACUAUGACAUAUAAGAAACACAUUUGUCAUUCACUCAUGCCUAAAAGGUGCAUAAACUGAAUUUACCCACCACUUCAUUUAUAUGGGAUGCAAAACUAUCGUUGCUCUGUUUUGUGCAUUUUCACUAUUUGAUUCUGAUAGAAAAUUAUAAAAUGUUCCUAUAGAUAUGUAUAAAUAUUGUGUUGAGUAACUAUUCAAGCAAAUAUGCCAAAUGUUUUCUGUGGUGAUUUCAUGCUUUUUCUUUGUCUUGUAUGAUAACAAAUAUAAAGUAGCAUUUUUCCACAAUAUUCUGACAUUUUACCAACAAAAUAAUUUACUGAUAAAGCAAGAAAAAAAUUAUUGCAGCCUUAUUAGUGGAUAUUCUUUUUCUUUCUUUCUACCUAUUAUAAUGUUCUUACCUAAUGUCCCCUGGUACGUUGUUUUUUAUCUUAUUUUUUAUUUCUGUUUUCUCAUUAUUAUAUUUUAUUCAUAAAGGAUUGUCGGAUAUUUACUGGGAUGUCUACAUAGUACCUUAUAAAAUAUAUUUCAAUUUGGUUAUAAGAUCAAAAACACUAUUUCCCUCGAUUCGCUUCGUUUUUGUUGUAGCCAUAAGUUACCAAAACAAAUUUUAUGAGCAGGUGUGAUGUGUUGAGCGGGAGAUAAAACUUUACAGGAAUAAAGGAGCCCGGGAAUAUAUCAAAAAUUACAGAUAUUUUACCAUUAUAUUUCUGAUUCAGGGUCCCAAGUGAGAUAUGUUUCAGGGACUCAGACUUUCUAGCAGCACCCCUGUGAGAACCACAGAGGCUGCAUCUUUAUUAAAACCACUAUAAUGUCUGUUUCAGAUUCACUCACAGAUACAUCGGAACAUAAAUUCAUGUAAAAUGCACUUUCUUACUAAAACAAAGGCAGACGGCUCCAUCAGUACGGAUGUGGAGAAGACUAAUGUGACCUGUUCCCUUUCCUAAAAUCCACUGUGGGUGUCCACAGACACAGUGUACCACUGCCCUCCAGUGGAGAGCUGCAGAACUGCAGAUCUAAUGCAUCUGUAGAGUAAUGAGGAAAUAGUUUCGCAUGUUAUGCCACUUGGAAUUUGAGAAACAUUUAAGUGUUCACUCGUGGGUCAGAUAAGGCUAAUCUUUACAAGAGAAGGUGAGUCAGUGAGCUCUCUCAAGGACGCUGUGGAUGAGAAGCUCAGAUUAUAACUACAAUGUUAACAGAAAUCUCUGCACUUCUUUCAUGUUACCAAAAAUCACUAAAUGGACAUAAAUAUAGUAGGGCUGUCAAAGUUAAUGGGAUAAAAACACAUUAAC